AUCAUUUUAGUCAAAGUAUGAUAUAUUUGGGCUUGAAGUGAGAAAUCCAAAGUGGGAACUUUGUGGAAAUCAGUGUCAAUGAUGUGUAGCUAAGUUAUUUCUGAUUUACGUGUCAGCUAUAGGGCUGGCUUUAGUUCAUUUGUAACCACCUACCUACAAACAUGUUAGACCUAACACGUGUGGGUUCCUUGCUGUUUACAACCUGUUGGUACUGUGGCUUAAUGUGUCUGCAAUGCACUUCGACUGUUGGGAGAUGUGGGAUGGGCUGACGUCGGUGAAACGGCUACCCAUCCCAGCCCCCCACCGCUCUGCAUGGCCACAGAAGUGAAACCAUGGCCAGACAGACACCUUCCUCUUGAGUAGGACUGAAGACUCCCAAGAUGAGUGAUGCAGACCAAGGCUGAGCACGCAGCAAAAUUGCAAUAUUGACAAAAUCCUCUCAAGCUCUGUCAGGUUGGAUGGGGAACGUCGCUGCACAGCUAUUUUCAGGUCUCUCCAGAGAUGUUCGGUCAGGUUUAAGUCCAGGCUCUGGCUGGGCCACUCAAGGACAUUCAGAGACUUGUCCCGAAGCUACUCCUGCGUUGUCUUGGCUGUGUGCUUAGGGUCGUUGUCUGUUGGAAGGUGAACCUUCGCUCCAGUCUCAGGUCCUGAGUGCUGUGGAGCAGGUUUCUAUCAAGGAUCUCUCUGCACUUUGCUCCGUUCAUCUUUCCCUCGAUCUUGACUAGUCUCUCAGUCCCUGCCGCUGAAAAACAUUCCCACUACAUGAUGCAGCCACCACCAUGCUUCACUGUAGGGAUGGUGCCAGGUUUUCUCCAGAUAUGACUUUUGACAUUUAGGCCAAAUAGUUUAGUCUUGAUUUCAUCAGACCAGAGAAUCUUGUUUCUCAUGGUCUGAGAGUCUUUAGGUGCCUUUUUUGCUAACUCCAAGCGAGUUGUCAUGUGCUUUUACUGAGGAGUGGCUUCCGUCUGGCCACUCUACCAUAAAGGCCUGAUUGGUGGAGUGCUGCAGAGAUGGUUGUCCUUUUGGAAGAUUCUCCCAUCUCCACAGAGGAACUCUGGAGCUCUGUCAGAGUGACCAUCGGGUUCUUGGGCACCUCCCAGUCGAAGGCCCUUCUCCCCCAUUGCUCAGUUUGGCCGGGCCGCCAGCUCUAGGAAGAGUCUUGGUGGUUCGAAACUUCUUCCAUUUUAGAAUGAUGGAGGACACUGUGUUCUUGGGAACUUCAAUGCUGCAGACAUUUUUUGGUACCCUUCUUCCUCAGAUCUGUGCCUCAACACAAUCCUGUCUCGGAGCUCAACGGACAAUUCCUUCUGCCUCAUGGCUUGGUUUUUGCUCUGACAUGCACUGACAACUGUGGGACCUUAUAGAAACAGGUGUGUUCCUUUCCAAUUGAAUUUACCACAGGUGGGAUCUGAAUACCUUUGUAAAUACAGUAUUUCUGUUUUUCAUUUGAAAUGAAUUUGCAAAAAUAAAACUAUUUUUGAUUUGUC
This is a long non-coding RNA of Oncorhynchus nerka (sockeye salmon), 1487 nucleotides long. RefSeq lists it as uncharacterized. The record is from RefSeq and is a predicted model, not a curated record. Lineage: Eukaryota; Metazoa; Chordata; Actinopteri; Salmoniformes; Salmonidae. The transcript has 4 exons.